GAUGAACGCUGGCGGCGUGCUUAACACAUGCAAGUCGAACGGGAAUUAUUUUAUUGAAACUUCGGUCGAUUUAAUUUAAUUCUAGUGGCGGACGGGUGAGUAACGCGUGGGUAACCUGCCUUAUACAGGGGGAUAACAGUCAGAAAUGGCUGCUAAUACCGCAUAAGCGCACAGAGCUGCAUGGCUCAGUGUGAAAAACUCCGGUGGUAUAAGAUGGACCCGCGUUGGAUUAGCUGGUUGGUGGGGUAACGGCCCACCAAGGCGACGAUCCAUAGCCGGCCUGAGAGGGGGAACGGCCACAUUGGGACUGAGACACGGCCCAGACUCCUACGGGAGGCAGCAGUGGGGAAUAUUGCACAAUGGGGGAAACCCUGAUGCAGCGACGCCGCGUGAAGGAAGAAGUAUCUCGGUAUGUAAACUUCUAUCAGCAGGGAAGAUAGUGACGGUACCUGACUAAGAAGCCCCGGCUAACUACGUG
This 478-nucleotide ribosomal RNA is filed under the name uncultured bacterium. Its description in RNAcentral is "partial 16S ribosomal RNA". It matches the Rfam family "Bacterial small subunit ribosomal RNA", at positions 28 to 507 of the family's 1533-position model. The record is from RNAcentral.